Mercenaria mercenaria is the source of this 570-nucleotide long non-coding RNA. RefSeq lists it as uncharacterized. The transcript has 3 exons. NCBI's taxonomy places the organism in Eukaryota, Metazoa, Mollusca, Bivalvia, Venerida, Veneridae. The record is from RefSeq and is a predicted model, not a curated record.
GCAUUAUGGAGGCAGUAAACAGUUUUGAGCUGUUAGUGUCGAAUUGGCCGGGGUGAAAUUUACAAAUAAGAGGCAAUUUACGGAAUGAAGUGCAUAUUUGAACUUCUAAAUAAUAAUAAUUGCUAGAAUUGAAGUUUCAGCGGCUAGAAUUGAGUUUCACUUAUUUAAAGAAAAUCAGUUGAGUAGCCUUGAUCUUGAUAGUAUGACGUAAUGACUUGCAGGAGCGUAUACAUGCUUCCUCUGAGCUAGCUGAAAGUGGGGUUGUCAUUUUAGCAGGUGCCUCAGGAAAAGUGGAAUAGUGAAAAAACGGUGUGUGGUUACAGACUUUUGUGUGAGGUUUUGAAAGUUAGGUUGGCGACUCUAGGCCGAGAAGCUCAGAAAACUGUUUACUGCCUCCUUAAGAGCAAAUCUUGAAAAUUUGUGUGUGGUUACAGACUUUUGUGUGAGGUUUUGAAAGUUAGGUUGGCGACUCUAGGCCGAGAAGCUCAGAAAACUGUUUACUGCCUCCUAUAGAUUUCUGCACUAACAGUUUAAAAAAGUCUCAAAUCAAGGAAUAUUGCAUUUGGAAUG